GACGAAAGUCUGACGGAGCAACGCCGCGUGAACGAUGAAGGCUUUCGGGUCGUAAAGUUCUGUUGUCAGGGAAGAACAAGUACUGGAGUAACUGCCGGUACCUUGACGGUACCUGACCAGAAAGCCACGGCUAACUACGUGCCAGCAGCCGCGGUAAUACGUAGGUGGCAAGCGUUGUCCGGAAUUAUUGGGCGUAAAGCGCGCGCAGGCGGUUCCUUAAGUCUGAUGUGAAAGCCCCCGGCUCAACCGGGGAGGGUCAUUGGAAACUGGGGAACUUGAGUGCAGAAGAGGAGAGCGGAAUUCCACGUGUAGCGGUGAAAUGCGUAGAGAUGUGGAGGAACACCAGUGGCGAAGGCGGCUCUCUGGUCUGUAACUGACGCUGAGGCGCGAGAGCGUGGGGAGCGAACAGGAUUAGAUACCCUGGUAGUCCACGCCGUAAACGAUGAGUGCUAAGUGUUAGAGGGUUUCCGCCCUUUAGUGCUGCAGCAAACGCAUUAAGCACUCCGCCUGGGGAGUA
RNAcentral lists this ribosomal RNA (517 nucleotides) under uncultured bacterium. RNAcentral describes it as "bacterial SSU rRNA". It matches the Rfam family "Bacterial small subunit ribosomal RNA", at positions 374 to 882 of the family's 1533-position model. The record is from RNAcentral.